RNAcentral lists this ribosomal RNA (451 nucleotides) under uncultured bacterium. RNAcentral describes it as "bacterial SSU rRNA". It matches the Rfam family "Bacterial small subunit ribosomal RNA", at positions 329 to 795 of the family's 1533-position model. The record is from RNAcentral.
AACCAGACUCCUACGGGAGGCAGCAGUGGGGGAUAUUGCACAAUGGGGGAAACCCUGAUGCAGCGACGCCGCGUGGGCGAAGAAGUAUUUCGGUAUGUAAAGCCCUAUCAGCAGGGAAGAAGAAAUGACGGUACCUGAGUAAGAAGCACCGGCUAAAUACGUGCCAGCAGCCGCGGUAAUACGUAUGGUGCAAGCGUUAUCCGGAUUUACUGGGUGUAAAGGGAGCGCAGGCGGCACGGCAAGCCUGAUGUGAAAGCCCGCGGCCCAACCCCGGGACUGCCCUUGGAACUGCAUGGCUGGAGUGCGGGAGGGGCAGGCGGAAUUCCUGGUGUAGCGGUGAAAUGCGUAGAUAUCAGGAGGAACACCGGCGGCGAAGGCGGCCUGCUGGACCGCGACUGACGUUGAGGCUCGAAAGCGUGGGUAGCGAACGGGAUUAGAUACCCGCGUAGUG